This is a long non-coding RNA of Betta splendens (Siamese fighting fish), 365 nucleotides long. RefSeq lists it as uncharacterized. NCBI's taxonomy places the organism in Eukaryota, Metazoa, Chordata, Actinopteri, Anabantiformes, Osphronemidae. The record is from RefSeq and is a predicted model, not a curated record. The transcript has 3 exons.
CCUGCAGGAGGAGACACUCAACAUCAAACACGACGCAGGUGAAGUGGAACCUCAACCGAACUGGAGGAAGGGAGACGCUGAGCUGACGCAAGAUGAACGGCCAGUUAACUGAACACACCCACACUAUGGAACAUGCACGGAACCCGUGUUUUAACAGGUUUUAGGAAGAUGCCUGAACACGAACAAACUGCAGCACAACAGAAGUGGCUGCUGUGAGCUGACUAACCGGAAACAACAAGCAGCACCACUGAUGAGCGACACAGUAAAAUGAUAAAACACAGUGUGUUUUCACACUUUACGUUCAUCUAAAGCAGAGACUGAAGGAGCGCUAUAUUAGAAACAAUGCUGAGUUCACAGAAACCUGU